Molecule: long non-coding RNA, 902 nt
Organism: Sapajus apella (tufted capuchin)
Lineage: Eukaryota; Metazoa; Chordata; Mammalia; Primates; Cebidae
Exons: 2
Source: RefSeq, a predicted model, not a curated record
AGACCCCUGCGCCGCCCACCCCGCGGGCCCGGCUGUGCUCGGAGGCCGGGCCUGGCCUGCCUGGCCCGUGAGGAUCUGCACCAGCAGGGGCCUCUGGGAUGGUUUCCAGGUGCCAGCGCAUCUUCUUAUAGAGGUAUCGGGGGAAGCGGCUGGCAGUGUAGGCAGCUGGGGCACAGUAUCUGAAGAUGGAUACCUCGCAGGACAUGCUGAUGGAGAACCUCCCGCAAAAGAAACAGGAGAUGCUGGCAGGACACGAGGGAAUGCAGGGGUGAGGCUGGGCCUUGGACCCCUUCACCACCCCCAUCCGAGUCCCCAGCCGUUAUACCUAAGGGGGUUCGUCUCCUCCAGGUCCACAAACCCAAAGGAAGCGUACAUGAGGACCAGCUGUUCCAGGCGCAGGGUCAGCUGUUGGGAGAUCUCUAACAGCUGCAUACCAGAGGGGGCACAGUGAGAUCAGCUGGCCCGAGAGGAGCCGGCCUCCCCCUCCACCAUCCACCAUCCCCCCAGGCUUGGAGCUUCGAGAGGCAAGGGGCGUGGGGUUUAAGAAACUCCCACACACCCCCUUUCGGACCAGCUCCUGCAGGACUCCAUAGAUGGGGGGUACGCUUCUCGCAGCUGCCUCCAGGUACAGGAAGUAGGGUUCACACAUCUGUAAGAAGGUGGGCAUGGCCUUGGCCAGCUGCUCCUUCUGUACUUGAUCUCUGCUGAAGGAAGAAGGGGGCCUUUGCCUGGAAUCCCUCAUGACCUCUCCCUGCCCCCGGGUUUUCCCCAUUCUACUCACCCCCAACCUGUAUCCCUUGGCUAGACCCCUGUUAGAAAAGGCCCCCAGUUUUAGGUCUUUUCUGAACAUCUUUCUGGUUCACCCGCAUCACACCUGUUUAGAACACUUGUUAAAGAGCUGA